Panicum virgatum (switchgrass) is the source of this 107-nucleotide small nucleolar RNA. Lineage: Eukaryota; Viridiplantae; Streptophyta; Magnoliopsida; Poales; Poaceae. The record is from RefSeq and is a predicted model, not a curated record.
AUGCCGUGGUGUGCGCAUGCUGCAAUGUACUCCUAAAAACGCUCCCAGGCUUCCGGGACUGUUUCGUCCUGGAGUUGUUGAAAACUGGAAAUCCUGUUCCAAAGGGC